GGGAAGGUGGCUCAGUGGUAGAGUGCUUGCCUUGCAUGCAUGAGGCCCUGGGUUCGAUUCCUCAGUGGUGCUG
Molecule: transfer RNA, 73 nt
Filed under: Dipodomys ordii (Ord's kangaroo rat)
Lineage: Eukaryota; Metazoa; Chordata; Mammalia; Rodentia; Heteromyidae
Rfam family: tRNA
About the family: Transfer RNA (tRNA) molecules are approximately 80 nucleotides in length. Their secondary structure includes four short double-helical elements and three loops (D, anti-codon, and T loops). Further hydrogen bonds mediate the characteristic L-shaped molecular structure. tRNAs have two regions of fundamental functional importance: the anti-codon, which is responsible for specific mRNA codon recognition, and the 3' end, to which the tRNAs corresponding amino acid is attached (by aminoacyl-tRNA synthetases). tRNAs cope with the degeneracy of the genetic code in two manners: having more than one tRNA (with a specific anti-codon) for a particular amino acid; and 'wobble' base-pairing, i.e. permitting non-standard base-pairing at the 3rd anti-codon position.
Source: Rfam by way of RNAcentral